This 254-nucleotide ribosomal RNA is filed under the name uncultured bacterium. RNAcentral's name for it is "partial 16S ribosomal RNA". It matches the Rfam family "Bacterial small subunit ribosomal RNA", at positions 524 to 776 of the family's 1533-position model. The record is from RNAcentral.
UACGUAGGGUGCAAGCGUUGUCCGGAAUUAUUGGGCGUAAAGAGCUCGUAGGCGGUUCGUCGCGUCGGCUGUGAAAAACCUGAGGCUCAACCUCAGGCCUGCAGUCGAUACGGGCGGACUUGAGUACUGCAGGGGAGACUGGAAUUCCUGGUGUAGCGGUGAAAUGCGCAGAUAUCAGGAGGAACACCGGUGGCGAAGGCAGGUCACUGGGCCGCAACUGACGCUGAGGAGCGAAAGCGUGGGGAGCGAACAGG